Molecule: ribosomal RNA, 253 nt
Filed under: uncultured bacterium
Lineage: Bacteria
Description: partial 16S ribosomal RNA
Rfam family: Bacterial small subunit ribosomal RNA
Source: RNAcentral
UACGUAGGGUGCGAGCGUUAAUCGGAAUUACUGGGCGUAAAGCGUGCGCAGGCGGUGAUGUAAGACAGGUGUGAAAUCCCCGGGCUUAACCUGGGAACUGCAUUUGUGACUGCUUUGCUGGAGUGCGGCAGAGGGGGAUGGAAUUCCGCGUGUAGCAGUGAAAUGCGUAGAUAUGCGGAGGAACACCGAUGGCGAAGGCAAUCCCCUGGGCCUGCACUGACGCUCAUGCACGAAAGCGUGGGGAGCAAACAGG